GGCGAACGCUGGCGGCGUGCUUAACACAUGCAAGUCGGACGGAAAGGCCCUUCGGGGUACUCGAGUGGCGAACGGGUGAGUAACACGUGGGUGAUCUGCACUGCACUUUGGGAUAAGCCUGGGAAACUGGGUCUAAUACCGAAUAGGACCGCGCGCUUCAUGGUGUGUGGUGGAAAGCUUUUGCGGUGUGGGAUGGGCCCGCGGCCUAUCAGCUUGUUGGUGGGGUAAUGGCCUACCAAGGCGACGACGGGUAGCCGGCCUGAGAGGGUGACCGGCCACACUGGGACUGAGAUACGGCCCAGACUCCUACGGGAGGCAGCAGUGGGGAAUAUUGCACAAUGGGCGGAAGCCUGAUGCAGCAACGCCGCGUGAGGGAUGACGGCCUUCGGGUUGUAAACCUCUUUCACCAGGGACGAAGCGCAAGUGACGGUACCUGGAGAAGAAGCACCGGCCAACUACGUG
Molecule: ribosomal RNA, 462 nt
Filed under: uncultured bacterium
Lineage: Bacteria
Description: partial 16S ribosomal RNA
Rfam family: Bacterial small subunit ribosomal RNA
Source: RNAcentral